This 2773-nucleotide ribosomal RNA is filed under the name Escherichia coli. Its description in RNAcentral is "bacterial LSU rRNA". It matches the Rfam family "Bacterial large subunit ribosomal RNA". Lineage: Bacteria; Pseudomonadati; Pseudomonadota; Gammaproteobacteria; Enterobacterales; Enterobacteriaceae. The record is from RNAcentral.
AGCGUACACGGUGGAUGCCCUGGCAGUCAGAGGCGAUGAAGGACGUGCUAAUCUGCGAUAAGCGUCGGUGAGGUGAUAUGAACCGUUAUAACCGGCGAUUUCCGAAUGGGGAAACCCAGUGUGUUUCGACACACUAUCAUUAACUGAAUCCAUAGGUUAAUGAGGCGAACCGGGGGAACUGAAACAUCUAAGUACCCCGAGGAAAAGAAAUCAACCGAGAUUCCCCCAGUAGCGGCGAGCGAACGGGGAGGAGCCCAGAGCCUGAAUCAGUGUGUGUGUUAGUGGAAGCGUCUGGAAAGGCGUGCGAUACAGGGUGACAGCCCCGUACACAAAAAUGCACAUAUUGUGAGCUCGAUGAGUAGGGCGGGACACGUGGUAUCCUGUCUGAAUAUGGGGGGACCAUCCUCCAAGGCUAAAUACUCCUGACUGACCGAUAGUGAACCAGUACCGUGAGGGAAAGGCGAAAAGAACCCCGGCGAGGGGAGUGAAAAAGAACCUGAAACCGUGUACGUACAAGCAGUGGGAGCCUCUUAAUGGGGUGACUGCGUACCUUUUGUAUAAUGGGUCAGCGACUUAUAUUCUGUAGCAAGGUUAACCGAAUAGGGGAGCCGAAGGGAAACCGAGUCUUAACUGGGCGUUAAGUUGCAGGGUAUAGACCCGAAACCCGGUGAUCUAGCCAUGGGCAGGUUGAAGGUUGGGUAACACUAACUGGAGGACCGAACCGACUAAUGUUGAAAAAUUAGCGGAUGACUUGUGGCUGGGGGUGAAAGGCCAAUCAAACCGGGAGAUAGCUGGUUCUCCCCGAAAGCUAUUUAGGUAGCGCCUCGUGAAUUCAUCUCCGGGGGUAGAGCACUGUUUCGGCAAGGGGGUCAUCCCGACUUACCAACCCGAUGCAAACUGCGAAUACCGGAGAAUGUUAUCACGGGAGACACACGGCGGGUGCUAACGUCCGUCGUGAAGAGGGAAACAACCCAGACCGCCAGCUAAGGUCCCAAAGUCAUGGUUAAGUGGGAAACGAUGUGGGAAGGCCCAGACAGCCAGGAUGUUGGCUUAGAAGCAGCCAUCAUUUAAAGAAAGCGUAAUAGCUCACUGGUCGAGUCGGCCUGCGCGGAAGAUGUAACGGGGCUAAACCAUGCACCGAAGCUGCGGCAGCGACACUAUGUGUUGUUGGGUAGGGGAGCGUUCUGUAAGCCUGCGAAGGUGUGCUGUGAGGCAUGCUGGAGGUAUCAGAAGUGCGAAUGCUGACAUAAGUAACGAUAAAGCGGGUGAAAAGCCCGCUCGCCGGAAGACCAAGGGUUCCUGUCCAACGUUAAUCGGGGCAGGGUGAGUCGACCCCUAAGGCGAGGCCGAAAGGCGUAGUCGAUGGGAAACAGGUUAAUAUUCCUGUACUUGGUGUUACUGCGAAGGGGGGACGGAGAAGGCUAUGUUGGCCGGGCGACGGUUGUCCCGGUUUAAGCGUGUAGGCUGGUUUUCCAGGCAAAUCCGGAAAACCAAGGCUGAGGCGUGAUGACGAGGCACUACGGUGCUGAAGCGACAAAUGCCCUGCUUCCAGGAAAAGCCUCUAAGCAUCAGGUAACAUCAAAUCGUACCCCAAACCGACACAGGUGGUCAGGUAGAGAAUACCAAGGCGCUUGAGAGAACUCGGGUGAAGGAACUAGGCAAAAUGGUGCCGUAACUUCGGGAGAAGGCACGCUGAUAUGUAGGUGAAGCGACUUGCUCGUGGAGCUGAAAUCAGUCGAAGAUACCAGCUGGCUGCAACUGUUUAUUAAAAACACAGCACUGUGCAAACACGAAAGUGGACGUAUACGGUGUGACGCCUGCCCGGUGCCGGAAGGUUAAUUGAUGGGGUUAGCGGUAACGCGAAGCUCUUGAUCGAAGCCCCGGUAAACGGCGGCCGUAACUAUAACGGUCCUAAGGUAGCGAAAUUCCUUGUCGGGUAAGUUCCGACCUGCACGAAUGGCGUAAUGAUGGCCAGGCUGUCUCCACCCGAGACUCAGUGAAAUUGAACUCGCUGUGAAGAUGCAGUGUACCCGCGGCAAGACGGAAAGACCCCGUGAACCUUUACUAUAGCUUGACACUGAACAUUGAGCCUUGAUGUGUAGGAUAGGUGGGAGGCUUUGAAGUGUGGACGCCAGUCUGCAUGGAGCCGGCCUUGAAAUACCACCCUUUAAUGUUUGAUGUUCUAACGUUGGCCCGUAAUCCGGGUUGCGGACAGUGUCUGGUGGGUAGUUUGACUGGGGCGGUCUCCUCCUAAAGAGUAACGGAGGAGCACGAAGGUUGGCUAAUCCUGGUCGGACAUCAGGAGGUUAGUGCAAUGGCAUAAGCCAGCUUGACUGCGAGCGUGACGGCGCGAGCAGGUGCGAAAGCAGGUCAUAGUGAUCCGGUGGUUCUGAAUGGAAGGGCCAUCGCUCAACGGAUAAAAGGUACUCCGGGGAUAACAGGCUGAUACCGCCCAAGAGUUCAUAUCGACGGCGGUGUUUGGCACCUCGAUGUCGGCUCAUCACAUCCUGGGGCUGAAGUAGGUCCCAAGGGUAUGGCUGUUCGCCAUUUAAAGUGGUACGCGAGCUGGGUUUAGAACGUCGUGAGACAGUUCGGUCCCUAUCUGCCGUGGGCGCUGGAGAACUGAGGGGGGCUGCUCCUAGUACGAGAGGACCGGAGUGGACGCAUCACUGGUGUUCGGGUUGUCAUGCCAAUGGCACUGCCCGGUAGCUAAAUGCGGAAGAGAUAAGUGCUGAAAGCAUCUAAGCACGAAACUUGCCCCGAGAUGAGUUCU